UGCCAGCCGCCGCGGUAACACGGGGGGCGCAAGCGUUGUUCGGAAUUAUUGGGCGUAAAGAGUCUGUAGGCGGUUAGGUAAGUCAGAUGUGAAAUCCCGGAGCUCAACUCCGGAACUGCAUCCGAUACUGCUUGACUUGAGUAUUGGAGGGGAAUCUGGAAUUCUCGGUGUAGCAGUGAAAUGCGUAGAUAUCGAGAGGAACACUAGUGGCGAAGGCGAGAUUCUGGACAAUUACUGACGCUGAGAGACGAAGGCCAGGGUAGCGAAAAGGAUUAGAUA
Molecule: ribosomal RNA, 279 nt
Filed under: uncultured bacterium
Lineage: Bacteria
Description: partial 16S ribosomal RNA
Rfam family: Bacterial small subunit ribosomal RNA
Source: RNAcentral